GUGUGUCGGGUCACCUAAUCCUGAGGAGCUCCUAGGGAAAAGAAGGGACAGGCCAAACGGCAACAACGAGGACAAGAAUUGAGGUUUUCGGGUCUAAGUCCGGAUAAUUUUACAGGUCAACAGCCACUUCUGGGCUAGGCGCCGGGCUAACUAUGCCCCGACUACAGUGUACUCUGCCGGAGACCAGCAGCAGUAAGGGCCUGGAACACCCCGAGGAGCGGUGGCGAAGGCGAGCCUGAUGGCGGUGCCUCUCAACGCCGCGCGCACUGGCAGCCUUACGACCCCAAAACAGGUGGGUCUUAAUAGCCCGGAACGGACUCACCGGCGUAUAUAAGAAAGCGUUGGCGGCGUCCGAGGAUGACGAGUUAUGGUGUCCAAAACGUAUCUCUGGGUUGUAAGAAGGUGCGUAUAGGUACGCAUGCCAAUAUCCAGAU
Molecule: long non-coding RNA, 434 nt
Organism: Drosophila rhopaloa
Lineage: Eukaryota; Metazoa; Arthropoda; Insecta; Diptera; Drosophilidae
Exons: 3
Source: RefSeq, a predicted model, not a curated record